AGAAUCAACGCUGGCGGCGUGCCUAACACAUGCAAGUCGAACGAGAAAGUGGAGCAAUCCAUGAGUAAAGUGGCGACCGGGUGAGUAACACGUGACUAACCUACCUUCGAGUGGGGGAUAACCUCGGGAAACCGAGGCUAAUACCGCAUAACAUCGUGAGAUCAAAGCAGUAAUGCGCUGGAAGAGGGGGUCGCGGCUGAUUAGCUAGUUGGCGGGUAAUGGCCCACAAGGCGAAGAUCGGUAGCCGGCCUGAGAGGGCGCACGGCCGACACUGGAACUGAAACACGGUCCAGACUCCUACGGGAGGCAGCAGUGGGGAAUUUUGCGCAAUGGGGGAAACCCUGACGCAGCAACGCCGCGUGGAGGAUGAAGUCCCUUGGGACGUAAACUCCUUUCGACCAAGACGAUAAUGACGGUACUGGUGGAAGAAGCCCCGGCUAACUUCGUGCCAGCAGCCGC
RNAcentral lists this ribosomal RNA (459 nucleotides) under uncultured bacterium. Its description in RNAcentral is "SSU rRNA". It matches the Rfam family "Bacterial small subunit ribosomal RNA", at positions 26 to 518 of the family's 1533-position model. The record is from RNAcentral.